Molecule: long non-coding RNA, 1546 nt
Organism: Solea senegalensis (Senegalese sole)
Lineage: Eukaryota; Metazoa; Chordata; Actinopteri; Pleuronectiformes; Soleidae
Exons: 3
Source: RefSeq, a predicted model, not a curated record
GUUCGUUCCUGCAGGUUUAAAAGUCCAGAUGAAAAAAAAAAGGUCCCGAAAGAAGCAUGAAACAAGAUGUGUGUGAAACCAAAUCAUUUAUUUUGCACAUCAUCGGGCUCCAAUGAACGUUUGCAUUACAGGACGGCAGCACGUCUCCCACACGAGCUUAUGUUGAGGUGAACAGAAGGAGAACAACAAUAAAUUAAAUCACACAGACUUGAAAAGUGAAGUUGACCUUUCGUUCAUUCUCGUUGGGAGUAUUUCUGGCUCCUUUUGUUCAGUUCAGACCCAAACGUUGAUGGCACUUGAAAUAGUCUUAAUAUAAAGAGCAAGGUGUGGUUCGGCCUUACUGAAGUUCAAGAUUAAUGUCUUUAAAAAAGAACAGAAACAGAACGUGCAGCUCUUCUGAAUCCAUGUUACUUUUACUAGGCCAAACUGUACCAGGCCGCGUGGUGUGCAUGUCCCUCUCGGUCCUAACGCUAUUACUCCGCUCCGUUCUGUCCCGCCGUCGCGUCGCCAGCCGCUUCCUUCACUUGGAGCAGCCGGAGCAGCUCGACUGCCUGUCGGAGUCGAGCUGUGGCGACACAGUGUCUGGCACGAUGAACUUUAGGACGCCGUUCUCCGUCGCCAUGAUGUGCUUCACCAGGAGGUUUGCGGCGCCACUGAUGUUGAGAUUGUCCUGCAAAAGAGAAAUGAAAUGAAAACCUACAGAGUGCCGUGGAAGAACGUCUUGGAGAACUUUCUCGUUCUUUGUCGCAAUAUUUUGUCAAUUCAUUUACUUAGUGUACUCAUAAUAUCUCUAUAAAAUGUCAAUAUACGACAAAUACAGCGUGGAAAACUAAUUUUAUCGCUUCUGUUUAGGGCUGCAACUAAACUGUCAAUUAUUUUCUCAAUUAGUCCAGAAAAUUGCAGAAAAUGUUGGUCUGUGUUUCUCAAAAUUGGAAAUGAUGCUCUCAUCAUCAUUUUACUUCUAAAAAAAAAUGUGAUUAACUAUCUUCCUCUCACCGUCACACCGACUGUCUUUAAAACACUUAAAAAAAGAGAAAAAAAAAGAAAAAAAAGACGGAUGUAUCGUUUGUUUUGCUCCAUACGUCCUCCGGCUUCACCUGCCCCCUUCUGACCUUUGACCUUUCAGAAUGCUGAGCCUCGACGCUAGAUGAAAGGUGCUGUGGCAACACAUACAUGUCAGCAGAGGAUGUUUGGAGGAGGACAUGUGUGUAUGUUUACACAUAUAUAUGUGUAUACAUACAUGUGUAUACACACAUAUAUAUGUAUGUAUAUCAACAUCUGGACAAACUCAUAAGGAGCUGAUCUGUCACUGGUCGAUUGCAGCGAGUCGAGUGCAUCUACCUGGUGGGAAACUCAGCUCAAAGCGACCAGGAAAUACCUGGAAGAAGAGUUGAGCGAGUGGGCUAAAAUUGUUGGAGCUGCUGGUCUGUUCCCUGCAGGCUGGUUUGGAGGUACUGGACUAAAAUAUAUUUAAAGAUGAACUUGUGCAACAUUAUGAACAUUAAACAAUUUUCAGUGUUGCCAGAUAUUUACAUGACCAGCAUGC